Molecule: ribosomal RNA, 509 nt
Filed under: uncultured bacterium
Lineage: Bacteria
Description: partial 16S ribosomal RNA
Rfam family: Bacterial small subunit ribosomal RNA (bases 20-325)
Source: RNAcentral
GACGAACGCUGGCGGCGUGCUUAACACAUGCAAGUCGAACGGAAAGGCCCUGCUUUUGUGGGGUGCUCGAGUGGCGAACGGGUGAGUAACACGUGAGUAACCUGCCCUUGACUUUGGGAUAACUUCAGGAAACUGGGGCUAAUACCGGAUAGGAGCUCCUGCUGCAUGGUGGGGGUUGGAAAGUUUCGGCGGUUGGGGAUGGACUCGCGGCUUAUCAGCUUGUUGGUGGGGUAGUGGCUUACCAAGGCUUUGACGGGUAGCCGGCCUGAGAGGGUGACCGGACAGAGUGGGAGUGAGAUGCGGGGGAGAGGGGGGAGGGAGGGAGGAGGGGGAAAGAGCGAAAGGGGGGAGGGAGCAGGAGGCAGGAGCGGGGCGGGGGGCAGGACGGUCGGAGGGUUGAAACCCGGUGGGGCGGGGGAAGAGGAGGGAGUGGGGGUAAGGGGAAAAAAAGAACCGGAUAACAACGGGGAAGAGGCAGGGGAAAGAAGCGGAAGAGAACACGGUGGAAC